GACGAACGCUGGCGGCGUGCCUAACACAUGCAAGUCGAGCGAAGCUUUUAAAGUGGAUCCCUUCGGGGUGAAACCUUAACUGUCUUAGCGGCGGACGGGUGAGUAACGCGUGAGAAACCUGCCUUUCACAACGGGAUAACCCGGUGAAAGUCGGACUAAUACCCUAUAUGCUCACGAGAGGCGCCUGCCUUGGUGAGGAAAGAUUUAUCACUGACAGAUGGACAUGCGUCCCAUUAGCUGGUUGGUAGGGUAACGGCCUACCAAGGCAACGAUGGGUAGGGGAACUGAGAGGUUUAUCCCCCACAUUGGUACUGAGACACGGACCAA
Molecule: ribosomal RNA, 327 nt
Filed under: uncultured bacterium
Lineage: Bacteria
Description: bacterial SSU rRNA
Rfam family: Bacterial small subunit ribosomal RNA
Source: RNAcentral